This 627-nucleotide ribosomal RNA is filed under the name uncultured bacterium. RNAcentral describes it as "bacterial SSU rRNA". It matches the Rfam family "Bacterial small subunit ribosomal RNA", at positions 215 to 842 of the family's 1533-position model. The record is from RNAcentral.
UCGCUGAUAGAUGGGCAUGCGUUCCAUUAGAUAGUUGGUGAGGUAACGGCUCACCAAGUCCACGAUGGAUAGGGGUUCUGAGAGGAAGGUCCCCCACACUGGUACUGAGACACGGACCAGACUCCUACGGGAGGCAGCAGUGAGGAAUAUUGGUCAAUGGGCGAGAGCCUGAACCAGCCAAGUCGCGUGAAGGAUGAAGGAUCUAUGGUUUGUAAACUUCUUUUAUAUGGGAAUAAAGUGAGGAACGUGUUCCUUUUUGUAUGUACCAUAUGAAUAAGCAUCGGCUAACUCCGUGCCAGCAGCCGCGGUAAUACGGAGGAUGCGAGCGUUAUCCGGAUUUAUUGGGUUUAAAGGGUGCGUAGGUGGUUAAUUAAGUCAGCGGUGAAAGUUUGUGGCUCAACCAUAAAAUUGCCGUUGAAACUGGUUGACUUGAGUAUAUUUGAGGUAGGCGGAAUGCGUGGUGUAGCGGUGAAAUGCAUAGAUAUCACGCAGAACUCCGAUUGCGAAGGCAGCUUACUAAACUAUAACUGACACUGAAGCACGAAAGCGUGGGGAUCAAACAGGAUUAGAUACCCUGGUAGUCCACGCAGUAAACGAUGAUUACUAGCUGUUUGCGAUACACAGUAA